CCUACGGGAGGCAGCAGUGAGGAAUAUUGGUCAAUGGACGAGAGUCUGAACCAGCCAAGUAGCGUGAAGGAUGACUGCCCUAUGGGUUGUAAACUUCUUUUAUAUGGGAAUAAAAUGUUCCACGUGUGGGAUUUUGUAUGUACCAUAUGAAUAAGGAUCGGCUAACUCCGUGCCAGCAGCCGCGGUAAUACGGAGGAUCCGAGCGUUAUCCGGAUUUAUUGGGUUUAAAGGGAGCGUAGGUGGAUUGUUAAGUCAGUUGUGAAAGUUUGCGGCUCAACCGUAAAAUUGCAGUUGAAACUGGCAGUCUUGAGUACAGUAGAGGUGGGCAGAAUGCGUGGUGUAGCGGUGAAAUGCUUAGAUAUCACGAAGAACUCCGAUUGCGAAGGCAGUUCACUGGACUGCAACUGACACUGAGGCUCGAAAGUGUGGGUAUCAAACAGGAUUAGAUACCCGGGUAGUC
RNAcentral lists this ribosomal RNA (460 nucleotides) under uncultured bacterium. RNAcentral describes it as "partial 16S ribosomal RNA". It matches the Rfam family "Bacterial small subunit ribosomal RNA", at positions 338 to 795 of the family's 1533-position model. The record is from RNAcentral.